UUCUGAGUAUUACUUCAGGUACUGGUUGUAUUAAAUAAAAAACGGAAUAAGUUAUUAACACAGCCUAAUAGAGAUAUUACGGAUUUACGA
Non-coding RNA from Bombyx mori (domestic silkworm), 90 nucleotides. NCBI's taxonomy places the organism in Eukaryota, Metazoa, Arthropoda, Insecta, Lepidoptera, Bombycidae. The record is from RefSeq and is marked provisional.